Molecule: long non-coding RNA, 396 nt
Organism: Solea senegalensis (Senegalese sole)
Lineage: Eukaryota; Metazoa; Chordata; Actinopteri; Pleuronectiformes; Soleidae
Exons: 2
Source: RefSeq, a predicted model, not a curated record
GCGACUUACCUAAUCUUUGGGUGGGAACAGCAAAGGGCUUGUCGAAUAUAAUCUUUAGACUUUCAUUGUGGCAAUGAAGGUAAACAAGGUACAGGACAAACACAGUGUUCCAGCAAAAUACUGAAAGGAAAGUGAAAAGGUGCUUGAAUCAUAUAUGACAAGAAGAAUAUCUAUUUUGGUUUGUUUGUAGAGGAAACACCAAAGAGGAAAAACAACCCACAUGCUUUCCGACUAAAUUCAGGAGAGUCUCACAGAUAAAUGACUUCCCCUAACGCAAUUGAACGUGUUGUGGUUGAGAGUUGUGCUGAAAAUGAAAGUGAAAAUAAAAACUCUGUAUACUACAGAAUUCAUAAAAUCACAGACAGCAGUUCUAGGCUGUUAACAAUAUGAAUGUUA